RNAcentral lists this small nuclear RNA (21 nucleotides) under Arabidopsis thaliana (thale cress). RNAcentral's name for it is "snRNA_08006". Lineage: Eukaryota; Viridiplantae; Streptophyta; Magnoliopsida; Brassicales; Brassicaceae. The record is from RNAcentral.
UAAGGAGUGUGUAACAACUCA